Molecule: ribosomal RNA, 390 nt
Filed under: Dociostaurus hispanicus
Lineage: Eukaryota; Metazoa; Arthropoda; Insecta; Orthoptera; Acrididae
Description: 12S ribosomal RNA
Source: RNAcentral
AUACCCUAUUAUUUUAAGUGUUAAUUUUGCUUACCUGGGUACUAUUAGUUAGGAUCUUUAAACCCAAAGAAUUUGGCGGUACCUUAUUCCAUUCAGAGGAACCUAUCCCGUAAUUGAUAAUACACGAUUUACUUUACUUAAUUUAUUUGUUUGUAUAUCUCCGUUAUCAGAAAAUCUUAUUGGAGUUAUAAUUUUCUUGAUUUAUGAUUGUAAAAUAUUUCAGGUCAAGGUGCAGCUUAUAAUUAAGAGGAGGUGGGUUACAAUAAAUUUUUGUUUAUUAUGGAUUUAAUAGUUAAAUACUCUUAAUGAAGGUGGAUUUGAUAGUAAUUUAAUUAAGUUAUUUUAAUUGAUAUUGGCUCUAAGGUGUGUACACAUCGCCCGUCACUCUCA